Molecule: long non-coding RNA, 335 nt
Organism: Manis pentadactyla (Chinese pangolin)
Lineage: Eukaryota; Metazoa; Chordata; Mammalia; Pholidota; Manidae
Exons: 3
Source: RefSeq, a predicted model, not a curated record
UGCUCUGGUGGAAGAUAAAGGGAAGGCUUCUUUGAGUGAUUGCCCUUCGCGGGUGAUUAUUUGCGCACUUUCUCCAUGCUCCACGUGGCCCAAGAUGACUGCUUGAACUCCAGCUACUUUGUCUGAGUUCAGCCAGCAGGAAAGAAAGAGGAAGAAAAACCUGGGUUGGUGAACACAUCCACAUGCUGAGCAGGAGAUGCACCCCAACUCCAUGAGGCCAGAAGCUGCUGUGGUCUGUGGGCCCCUCCAGAUCUCACCCUAUGUACCUCUUCAUCUGGCUGUUCAUUUGUAUUCUUUAUAAUAUUCUUUAUAAUAAACCAGCAAUACUGAGGGAA